RNAcentral lists this ribosomal RNA (253 nucleotides) under uncultured prokaryote. RNAcentral's name for it is "partial 16S ribosomal RNA". It matches the Rfam family "Bacterial small subunit ribosomal RNA", at positions 525 to 777 of the family's 1533-position model. The record is from RNAcentral.
ACGAGUGCCUCAAGCGUUAUCCGGAAUCAUUGGGCGUAAAGGGUGUGUAGGUGGUUGUGUUAGUCUUCUGUCAAAUCUUCGGGCUCAACUCGAAACCUGCAGAGGAAACGGCACAGCUUGAGGAUGCGAGGGGCUAGUGGAACUCAUGGAGUAGGGGUGAAAUCCGUUGAUAUCAUGGGGAACACCAAAAGCGAAGGCAACUAGCUGGCGCAUUCCUGACACUGAAACACGACAGCGUGGGUAGCGAACGGGA